Long non-coding RNA from Panicum hallii, 431 nucleotides. RefSeq lists it as uncharacterized. NCBI's taxonomy places the organism in Eukaryota, Viridiplantae, Streptophyta, Magnoliopsida, Poales, Poaceae. The transcript has 3 exons. The record is from RefSeq and is a predicted model, not a curated record.
AGGGGACAUCUGUCAUCAAUUGAAGUGGCUGGGUUUCAAGAAGAAUGAUGAGAAGCAGGCACUUCUUGUGCAGCAAAGAUGGCCACGUUAUGAUGUAUGAGCUUGCUAAGAGGGCAACCACCAGUGUGAAGCUUAACACUACAUUUCACUGACAAUGAAAUGGUAUAGGCGAGUUAGCGAGUGUACCUGAAGUAGAUGUGCAUGGUGUUCUUGCUGCUCAGCUUCAUCCCAGAGAACAAGCUCGUGGUCAGGUUGUUCUGGUGAUUUAAACUAUUCAUAGUAUCCAUCUAGAUUCUAGAUUGGGUUCAUUAUUAGAGCAUGAAAAAACUUCCAUUGUUUCUGAAGUGUAAGAUUCAGGAAUAAGAGUUGCACAUUUGUAUUUUUCCAAAAUAUUUGCACAAUACAUUAAGUUAAUGAUGAAUUCCAAGCAU